Molecule: long non-coding RNA, 265 nt
Filed under: Dasypus novemcinctus (nine-banded armadillo)
Lineage: Eukaryota; Metazoa; Chordata; Mammalia; Cingulata; Dasypodidae
Description: lncRNA (ENSDNOG00000051860.1)
Source: RNAcentral
CUAUCACACUGAAUACAACCACAUUGUGCUGCUCGAAAUGGGAAACCUGAUUCAGAUCACAGAGGAAGGCAGAAAAACACUUGGGAUGCCCGCCUGAUUGACAACGGCUCCAGCCACUUGCCGACCGCACCCGGCAGAAAGGUGGAAUUUCCCAGCGAACUGAUUGGCCGGCGGAGAAGGCGGGCCCUGGUGAUUGGCUUGAGAUUCCCAGUAGUAAGUAGUAAACAACCUGGGUCCAGAGGCAGCGGGGAGGGCGCGGGAUGCC